GUCCGGGAUAACCCCGGGAAACUGGGGAUAAGACCGGAUAGAUCACCUAUGCUGGAAGGCUUGGUGGUUUAAACGUGAGGCCUUUGGAUGGGUCUGCGGCGGAUUAGGUUGACGCCGGUGUAACGUACCGGCGUGCCUGUAAUCCGUACGGGUUGUGGGAGCAAGAGCCCGGAGAUGGAUUCUGAGACACGAAUCCAGGCCCUACGGGGCGCAGCAGGCGCGAAAACUCUACAAUGCAGGCAACUGCGAUAGGGGGACAUCGAGUGGCAUCCACCUUGGGUGCCUGUCCCACCGUCUAAAAAACGGUGGUUAGCAAGGGCCGGGUAAGACCGGUGCCAGCCGCCGCGGUAAUACCGGCGGCUC
RNAcentral lists this ribosomal RNA (363 nucleotides) under uncultured archaeon. RNAcentral's name for it is "bacterial SSU rRNA". It matches the Rfam family "Archaeal small subunit ribosomal RNA", at positions 119 to 485 of the family's 1478-position model. The record is from RNAcentral.